This 399-nucleotide unclassified non-coding RNA is filed under the name soil metagenome. Its description in RNAcentral is "partial contains 5.8S ribosomal RNA, internal transcribed spacer 2, and large subunit ribosomal RNA". The stretch from base 1 to 120 matches the Rfam family "5.8S ribosomal RNA", at positions 35 to 154 of the family's 154-position model. The record is from RNAcentral.
GAUGAAGAACGUAGCGAAAUGCGAUACUUGGUGUGAAUUGCAGAAUCCCGUGAACCAUCGAGUCUUUGAACGCAAGUUGCGCCCGAAGCCUCGGCUAAGGGCACGUCUGCCUGGGCGUCACGCAUCGCGUCUCCCCCAAACCGCCAAGGCGGAGGGGAAGGAAGAUGGCUUCCCGUGCCUCACCCGGCGCGGUUGGCCUAAAUUUGGAGCCCGCGGCACUUAGCUCUCGUGGCGAUAGGUGGUGAACAAGGCCUUGGCCGUGCAAACAACCCGCUGCGAAUCUCUACGUCACGUGCGCUCGUCGGACCCUUUGAAGUUGCCUUCGGUGACUUAAAACCUUUGCGACCCCAGGUCAGGCGGGGCUACCCGCUGAAUUUAAGCAUAUCAAUAAGCGGAGGA